Molecule: long non-coding RNA, 1847 nt
Organism: Acanthochromis polyacanthus (spiny chromis)
Lineage: Eukaryota; Metazoa; Chordata; Actinopteri; Pomacentridae
Exons: 7
Source: RefSeq, a predicted model, not a curated record
UCAAGUACCCCUGACUGCAGCCCGCAGAUCGGGGCGUGCCUCAACGUGGGCGGAGUUAAACGUUGAGCUCCGCCCACCUUGAACUAAACGUGGGCGGAGUUAAACGUUUAACUCCGCCCGCAUAGCGCAGUUGAACCGUUGAAGAAGAAGAAGAAUGUAUUAGAGAAGAAGAAGAAGUUUCCAAAAUGGAGAGAAUAGAGCACGUGUUUGCUGCAAACAGCCACGUCAUUGCCACAUGGUUUCCACCAUCAUCCACAAACCCCAUGGAUCACCUGCCGGACAAUGCAGCCAGUCUCCAGUGGGUUCUGCUUCCUAUUUGUACCUGGACACUGGAUACUCUAUACUGAGGCCACAGGCUAGAGAGAUUUUCUUUCUAGAUCCCCUCUGUGGCAGCGGCUGGAGAGAUGAGAGUAGAGUCCAUCGAGUCAGGUUUUUAGGACACCUUCCUAGAUCCUUCCUGGACAGUGGUAGUUCUGUUUUAAACCACUUGUCCUUUGUUUGUUUAAUAAAUGCUUCUGUUUUUAUUUGAAUGCAUUAAAAUGUUCCAAACAAACAAAAACAAACAACAAAAGUGAGUGUUUGUGAGGGAUAGAAGUAAUUGUUACAUUAUUCUUAUUUAUUUUUACAUUAUUCUACGCAGAUGGAAACAGAACCAUAUGUUUUGUUUGUUCAAGCCCAUUACAAAAACGUUUGAUUUGAAGUUCCAGCCUCUUCCAACUUUGUUCCAAGUGUUGCUUUAAAAUGGUUUAUUGUACUUUUAUUUACUCUUUGACCAGGCACGUUGCUCACAUCUCCUGGCCCUUGGAGGCAGCUUGGUGUGAAUGAUGUUCAGGUGAGACAUUACUACAUUGCAUUUGCUAACAUUUGCUAUUUCCUUGCCAUUCUUUUAUUAAAACACUGCAAAGAUGCUCCACCAACUGUGGCGUGUUUGUUUUGAUGGUAAGAACUACUCGGUAUGUUAUAUCGAUGACCUCUAUAAAAUGUUUUUUCUGCAUUUAAAACACACUCUUUGUAUUGAAAAACUGUAUCCUGACAGAAUGUGCAUGACAUUAUAUUAACCAGUAUCUCUGUACAUUGUAAUGGGGGCCAGUUGUGAUUUCAGUGAGGUUUUGUGCAAAUUGUGACACGUUAUGCUUGACUGUAGCGAUGAAGGUAUUAUUUUUGGAAACAUAUUUUAAUCUUCUGCAUUUCCUUCUUCACAGGGAAACAUGCUGCAGAUUAGAAGAUGGUGGUGUCUUGUUCUCCUGCAGAACUUCCCCAUGCCGUAAGCACCCUCAGUAUCACACUUUUAAACCAGAUUCUUUUAAAUCACGUUUUACUGUAUUCACUGUCAUCUGACCUGCAUGAAUGUUUUCAUUGUGAAUGUUUGUUGACAUUAAAUCACCACGAUCUGAAGAAGAGAGAUUGCAGCAAAGAAAAAGGCAACAAGAGCAGAAAAAACUACAGUAUGUGGCUGAAGUCCCCCUGAAAAUGUUUAGGCUUUCAGAAUCUGCCACUGAAGCAUCAGAUGAGGCUGAGAACAGGACUGGGAACAGGAAACGGGGAGAAUCCUUUGGUCAGGGAUGCAAUGGCAGCAGCCCGGUGGUGUGGGACCAGAACUUUCAAGGGAAAAAUUUCCCUUCCCCAAGUUGUUACCAUGGCCAAGGAGCAACGCGUGAGGGCAGUGGAACUCCUGUGUGUCUGUGAUGGCCAGGAAGAAGAGGAGACCGCUGAUCUCAGAGAACUGUUCCUUUUUCUUUUUAGUCUGCAGGAAGACUAUGAGACAUUCUGUCAAGAAAUCAUUGACAGGAGAAACAUGAAGGUGUUUUGUGGUUUGACAGAAAAGAAUAAAGUUGUGUUCAACGGUG